AACCCAGCAGCGCGCUGGGCUGCACUGUCUCCGUCUGCGGCCUGCAGUACGGGGGUA
Molecule: microRNA precursor, 57 nt
Filed under: Pongo abelii (Sumatran orangutan)
Lineage: Eukaryota; Metazoa; Chordata; Mammalia; Primates; Hominidae
Description: miRNA
Source: RNAcentral